Molecule: ribosomal RNA, 253 nt
Filed under: uncultured bacterium
Lineage: Bacteria
Description: partial 16S ribosomal RNA
Rfam family: Bacterial small subunit ribosomal RNA
Source: RNAcentral
UACGGAGGGAGCAAGCGUUACUCGGAAUUAUUGGGCGUAAAGGGCGCGUAGGCGAUUUGAAAAGUCUUGUGUGAAAGCCCCGAGCUUAACUCGGGAAGUGCACAAGAAACUGUUGAAUUUGAGUUCCGGAGAGGAAGGCAGAAUUCCCGGUGUAGCGGUGAAAUGCGUAGAUAUCGGGAGGAAUACCAGUGGCGAAGGCGGCCUUCUGGACGGAUACUGACGCUGAGGAGCGAAAGCGUGGGUAGCAAACAGG